CUGUUAUAAUCAGGCAGUUUCUUGGGUCAUUAUCAUAAAAGCCAGCACUCUGAUGUUGUCUAGUACUGCGGAGAAGAAUCUCAACAUCCAAACGACAACGCUUUUCGUUUCACUGAAUUUCAAAUAUCAAAAUGCCAGAGCCACAGGACAAUGUACCCCCCAUCAAACCAUCACCCGGUCCUCGGGGUCGAGAACCACAAGAAAGAGGUCCCAAAGACACCGACUCGUCGUGUGUCAUCCUUUAGAUCCGGCAUGGCCCAUCCAGCUGGGAUGAAAACAAGGGCAGGUCAAGGGGAGGGGGUCAAUGACGGCCAUGCCCCUACCCAAAGCAUAAAAAUAUAGCCUCGCCCCAUAGAAGGGCCCAAAAAGACUACAGAAAACUUACCAGUUUUUUGGGCAACGUAACAAAAGCUUGGUCUCAACUCCCCCCCCCCCCAAAUUUGAAUGUGGAUCCACCCAUGCAUGCAAACUACCAGACAAUGGAGCACCACAUCCUUUGCUCUCCAGAAAGCAACAUCUCCACUUCCACCUGGAUGUCUUCUACUGUCUUCACUUCAGUAACCUCCACCCACCACCACCACCACCAAGUUCCCUCAGCCUGUCCCAGCAUCAUGUCACACUAUUAAAAGCAAAUCAAAGAGAAUACUUUACCUUCAUAAUCGACCUUUGAUAAUGUAUUAUGGAGUCUAUGACCUAAUUUUGUUCACCUUGAAGAAUGCCUUGAUUUAUUAGCUAGAAGUCUGUAGUUGUCUUGAAAUGAGUGCUUUCAAACAGUUCAGUGUGAUCCUUGCAACAGCUUUCGUGACUUGUUGUGACUUAUGCAACUGGCAAUUUUAAAUCUCUGAGAUGUAUCUUGAACCAAUAAAGGUAUUUCCAUUUUAAACCUGGAUGAGAUUAGGGAUUAGAAAAAGUUAUCUGGAAAACAGCCAGUAAAGAGGUUGUAACAAGAACAAUAAAAAGCUGAACCAGGCGUGAGUUCUCCCUCAGCUGCCUACAAUCUUACACUGGUCUCUUUUUGUAUACUUAAGUUAGGUCAAAACAUAGCAAAACUUGAAUGGUUAUACCUCUUAAAUUCAGAGUUUGGUGUAAACUACUGAAAAAUAUCUUCUAAUCCCAGCCAGGUUUGAAACUGUACACUGUCCCCAAGGGGUCUUUUGCGAAGUUAUGAGGUUUCUCAGUUUCAAUUUUCCAAGUUAAAACCCGUUGAAUAUCUACUGCAAUUUAACAGGGACUGGUUUAAGUGACAGUCUUCUCACCAAAGUGUAAACAGAGGUGGGGGGGUAGGGUUGAUCCUAAUCCCCAAGGGUACAUGUAAAAUCAUGUUGAAAUUGAAUGAUUCAGGUUGCCAGCAUUCUGGCUACCAGCAUUCCCGAACAAAAAUCGAAAUUUAAACCAACUUCAAUGAAACACUCAGUUACCUAAUAGCAUCUGCUUUUGUGUUUGUUUUUCUUUCUUUUUUUAAAGUGGUUGUAAAAAUUAUGGCUUGCCAUCAGUACAAAAGUAAAAGCAUUAAAGUAUCACAAAUCUAAAUCUUAGAUUGGUAGUUACUUUUAAAUUUUAGUUUAUACACUUAUUAGUAAAUAUCAAAAAACACAAACCUCUUUCAAAUAAAUGGGACAAAUGUACAUUCCCAACGGAGCAUAAUCGAGGUAAAACUAAAAACCAACCAAAGGGUGACUUUUCUGCAAUUUUUGGCCGCGUUAGAUGUAACUGUAGGCAAAGUGUAAAUGGUCUAUGCUUGAAUCUAAGUUCUUUUAAUUUGCAUUAAUACAUGUAUGAGGUUUUCAGUACUUGAAUACCGAAACUAGUGCCUUAUGUUACAUCUCUGUCGAAUAUAUUAAUUAGCACGUCAUGGCAUGGACUACUAGCUACGUUUUAUUACACUUUAAUACUUCAUGAGACUUUAGAAAAGUAUUAUGUGCUCAUGAAAAGAAAAUGGUACAUACAUUGUUAUAAUAACCAUACAUAUUUUCAAACCAACAUACUUGUACUAUCCAAUAUUUCCAAUACUACUGCCCCUUUAAUCAAUAACAAUAGAUACAUGUGUGAUUCUCGUAAAA
Molecule: long non-coding RNA, 2060 nt
Organism: Acanthaster planci (crown-of-thorns starfish)
Lineage: Eukaryota; Metazoa; Echinodermata; Asteroidea; Valvatida; Acanthasteridae
Source: RefSeq, a predicted model, not a curated record